UCAGACGAUGCGUCAUGCAUAUCAAUAAGCGGAGGAAAAGAAACUAACAAGGAUUCCCCUAGUAACGGCGAGUGAAGCGGGAAGAGCUCAAAUUUGAAAUCUUAAAGGGUUUCCCUUUACGAAUUGUAGUUUAAAGAAGUGUUUUCUGUUGAGGUUUUGGUAAAAGUUCUUUGGAAUAGGACAUCAUAGAGGGUGAGAAUCCCGUAUUUGACCUUUACUUUCAACUUUGUGAUACACUUUCAAAGAGUCGGAUUGUUUGGGAAUGCAGUCCAAAAUGGGUGGUAAAUUUCAUCUAAAGCUAAAUAUUGGCGAGAGACCGAUAGCGAACAAGUACCGUGAGGGAAAGAUGAAAAGAACUUUGAAAAGAGAGUUAAACAGUACGUGAAAUUGUCAAAAGGGAAGCGUUCGACACCAGUGUUGUUUUUCUGAAAAUCAAUUAAAGAACUGUUUAUGCUAAGCUGUUUAGACUUUAUCAGCUAUCUGUUUAGUUUUGAGCUUUUCUUUAAUGCACUUUUCAGUUAACAAGUCAACAUCAAUUUCUUUUGCUGUAAAAAAGCUUGAGGAAGGUGGCUUGAGAUUCGUCUUAAGUGUUUAUAGCCUCUUGCCUAUGCAGUCGGAGAGAUUGAGGUCUGCAGCGUAGAUCCUUCGGGGCUAAAUGCAUUUGUGCUAAGUUAUAGCAUUUCAUAGACAACUUGUUGACUAUGAUUUGUCUUGUAGCUUACUCGCUUAUGUUAUUUUACCUACGCUUAGGAUGUUGAAUCUGUGCGAGACUAC
RNAcentral lists this ribosomal RNA (774 nucleotides) under uncultured Neocallimastigales. RNAcentral describes it as "partial large subunit ribosomal RNA". It matches the Rfam family "Eukaryotic large subunit ribosomal RNA", at positions 18 to 644 of the family's 3401-position model. The record is from RNAcentral. Lineage: Eukaryota; Fungi; Neocallimastigomycota; Neocallimastigomycetes; Neocallimastigales.